UAGGGAAUAUUGGGCAAUGGAGGGAACUCUGACCCAGCCAUGCCGCGUGCAGGAUGAAGGCGUUAUGCGUUGUAAACUGCUUUUUAUAUAGGAAGAAAUAGUCCUUGCGAGGAAAGUUGACGGUACUAUAUGAAUAAGCACCGGCUAACUCCGUGCCAGCAGCCGCGGUAAUACGGAGGGUGCAAGCGUUGUCCGGAUUUAUUGGGUUUAAAGGGUGCGUAGGCGGUUUAUUAAGUCAGUGGUGAAAGACGGUCGCUCAACGAUUGCAGUGCCAUUGAUACUGGUAGACUUGAGUAUGAUUGAGGUAGCUGGAAUGGAUAGUGUAGCGGUGAAAUGCAUAGAUAUUAUCCAGAACACCAAUUGCGUAGGCAAGUUACUAAGUCAUAACUGACGCUGAGGCACGAAAGUGUGGGUAUCAAACAGGAUUAGAUACCCCAGUAGUCCCUGAGCGGGCUGGCAAGGCGCAU
RNAcentral lists this ribosomal RNA (467 nucleotides) under uncultured bacterium. RNAcentral's name for it is "bacterial SSU rRNA". It matches the Rfam family "Bacterial small subunit ribosomal RNA", at positions 355 to 825 of the family's 1533-position model. The record is from RNAcentral.